GAGGUCACCAGCUAUUGUAUGUGACAAAUAACACUGACCGGUGGAGCUUCCUGACUCCAGGGAAAAGAAUAAAGUUACAGCCAUCACUAAGAAAGGCAAGAAGGAAGAUCCUGGGAACUACAUAAGUCAGUCUCACCUCAGUGUCUGAAAGAUUCCUGCAUAGGUCCCUGUGGAAUCUAUUUCCAAGGGCCUCAUCGAUGUACUGGCGGAAGUAAUCUACUCGCAGGGUGUCAUUGAGUAGAUCUCCGGCGUCUCCUGUAGGCACACCAUUCCCUGCUAUGUAUAUUGGGAUCUUUGACCCUGUGUAUUCCUGGGAUACAAACUUCAGCAGCCUUCUUAAUCCCCAAGGGACCACAUGGAUCCAAGAAGAGGCAGCCUGUGGCCAGGAAGGAUCUACAUGCAAGGAGAAGUUCCCAAUGCUCUCGUAGCCCGGUGUGCACAUCCCAAUAGUCCCGGCACUGACCAGGCGGGAAGUGUAAUGGGAAAGGCCAAAAAAGUCUGCAGUCCCUUUCACCAAGGACUUCUCCUCCUCUGUAAACACGGGCAGCUGUGCAACUGUCGUGGAGCACUGCUGGUUCACUUCCUGGAUCUGAGCCUUCAGCAUAUCUGGGUAAUCACCAUUAACAAAUAUGGGGUGAGCAAACCAGCCAAGCAUGAACUGCAGGUACCUCUCAGAUGCCCUCAUGUCCUCGGAGCUGCCUGGAGUUUUGGGUUCAGCCCAGUCUGAGUUCAGCACCAGCCCCACCUUUCCCAAUUGCUGAGAACGGUAUUUGUCAUUAUACAAGUGCCAGACCUUGGCAUGAGCCUUCAGAAUUGUGUGAGCAACCUGGGAAGCAGAAGGCAGAGGAAAAUGUAUCACAUUCCAUUGCACAGAACCUCUUAAGCAUUUGGUUGAUUUAUUGCCAUGUGAAAAUGUCCUCUCCAUCCAAAAGAAAACACCUUGACAAAACUAAUGAUAGACAAGGGAGUGUAGUAGGUUUUGGAAUAACCAAAAGAAUUUGACUAUCCAUCUACAUCAGCCUUCAGAAUAGAAAAAUAAAAUAACGUCUGGCCUCUGUUAACUAACUCAUUUUUAAGUAUCAUAAAUCCAGCAACCAAAUAGUUGUCUCAGAGGCCACAUUAGGUUUGAACAUAGUUAAAGCACAGAACCAGCAUGGAAAACAACCCAACAAGAGUAGCUUCAGGAACCUAAUUAUUCCUGUGCCCUACCUUGUAAGAUGCUGCUCCUGGGUCAGUGAUUCCUGGAGGAUGCUCUCCGGUGCCAUAGCCAGCAUAGCUGAUAACCCAGGGCUCAUGGAAUGUAACCCAGAGCUUGACCCGGUCCCCGAAUGUGGAAAAGCAGAAGUCUGCGUAGCUCACAAAAGCAUCUAUGAUGCUUUCAUUCUGCCAGCCACCAAGAGCCUGCAGAGCCUGGGGCAGGUCCCAAUGGAACAGAGUCACCAUGGGCUCAAUGUUAGAGUCUACCAAGCGGUCAAUUAAGUGGUUGUAAUAAUCAACACCCUUGGAAUUGAUGGUCUUGUUCAUGCCAGCAGGGAAAAUUCUAGACCAGGAUACAGAAAAUUUGUACAGCUGGGGGUGAAGACCCCUAAGCAGGUAAAUGUCAUAGCCGGUUUUAUAGUAGCUGUCACAUGCCACAUCUGCUGUUUGGUUCAUUUGGACAUGACCCCCAUGCCCAAAGUGGUCCCAGAUGCUCUCUCCUUUACCAUCCUCUGCCCAAGCUCCUUCAAUGUUAAAGGCACCUGUGGAUAUGCCCCAGAGGAACCCACUUGGGAAAACAUCUUGCAGGAAAGAAUCCCUCUCCGAUUCAGACUGUUCACCAAACAUUUCCCAGACUGUUUGAUACGAGGACCGAGGAGCAAGAACAGCAUCUGGGUUUUCCUGUAGAGUAUUUGUUUCACUGGAAAUAUAAUAAAUAGAGGUUAAAAUCUCCAA
This is a long non-coding RNA of Haemorhous mexicanus (house finch), 1932 nucleotides long. RefSeq lists it as uncharacterized. NCBI's taxonomy places the organism in Eukaryota, Metazoa, Chordata, Aves, Passeriformes, Fringillidae. The transcript has 2 exons. The record is from RefSeq and is a predicted model, not a curated record.